CUUUGAGUUAGGUAUUAUUCUUUUCUCCAUUUUACAGAUGAGAAAGAGAUUAAAUUGUUUGUCCAGGGUCAUGAAACCAGUGAGUCAGAGCUUCUGCUCUUUGCCACUACAUGCGGAAGAAGGAAGGAGAUGUAGAGGAGGGAGGGCCAUCAAUCAAGUCUCUAGGCAAGAUGUUUGCUCUGUCCUCGGGAAAGACAGAAAGGAAGUCCAAGGACCCUGGGCAGUGAGCUGCCCCCACCUGAGCAAAGAACGCAGCAUGCCACCUGGCUUCCCUAACACUUAUACUUAUUGUCACCAUGGUAAUUGGUCCUAAUGGCAUGGAGCUACCUACCCCCUUUUCUUCCUGACUCCAGAGUGAGGCAAACAAAUAUCAGUAUAGCCCAGUGACUCAAAGAAGGGCCUCUGGAUUCAUGCUGCUGUGGUUCAAUCUGAUAGCUUUUUGAGUGAUCUUGAACAUUCAAUCAACUCUCUAGGCCAGUAGUUUUCAAAGUGUGUUCUGAAGAUCCAAGGAAGUCCGUGAAGUCCAAACAAUUUCUGUAAUAACAGCUCUGCAGCUAACUGCCUUGGAAACCACAAAGAGGAGUGCAUAUGUUUAUUUGUUGGUGAUCACAUUGCUGGGUACAGUGGAAAAACAUGUAAGAGCUUUCAAUCUGUUUGGAGAUACAGGACUUGUGAAACAACAUCAAAGCAGGUAAGAUGAAAUGUAAAUUAGAUCGAGUAGAGUAUAAGUGCAAAACUGAACUGAGCAAGACACUUCUGCACUUACAUUUUGUAGGAGUUUGGAGAAAAGGGAGACUGAAACGAGAGAUGGAUGGCAGACUGACUGGGUGCCACGUGUCCCUGAAAUGUCCUAACCAUACUCAAUAAGAGUGUGUGCCUUCUCAGGGAGUCUAUAGGGCAUGUGCCAGGCCCUUAAUAUCUACACUGAAAAUGGCGUGUUCAUUUCCAGGAAUACUCUGGUGCACUUUAACAAAACAAAAACCAAAUUCCUACUUCUGAAAUCCUUUUAUCAGAAAAUGCAGGGAUUUGGAGUCAGCUGACCUGUGCCAAAUCCUGAUUCUGUUACUUCAGUGGCUGUGGGAGCUGGGGCAUGUCCAGUCAGCAUAUGGAAUCUUGAGAUCCUGAUGUGACAAAUGGGGUGGUACUAAUACCAGUCCUGCCUAGACUUGGCCCCCAAUGUAAGGGGAACAAAUGAGAUCGUGUAGGCGAUGCCACUUUGCACAUUCUGAAGCACUAAAUGAAUGUGCAAUGGUGUCACCACAUGGUCUUUUGCCUCUUUUGCCUAUUACAUCUCUACCCCCAUGAUGUUCUGAGACUGGUGGCAUCUGCUCCAGAGAGGAAGCAGGCCUGGAAUAGCCCGGGUAUUUACGGAGGAGAUUGGCAGAGUGUGAGUUGUGAAACUCAGUGGUCUGCUCCAGAUCAUCCUGUUGAGUUCCUCACUCUCAUGAGCACUAAAUUUACUCUCCCCAUUUUUUAAAAAAUAGCUUCAGAAAUUUGCUCUAUUAUGUUUCUCUUCACUUUAUGUUGGGGGGAAUUUGAGAAUACUUCCAUACAAAGGGCUGUUCUUUGACUGAGAAUGAUCCUGUCAGGCAUAUAGCUCACCUCUCACUUGUCAGGCACACGGCAAGAGAAUGACUUUCUCAGAAUUAAUGGCCUUUUCUAAACCCAUUAAAGAAACUCUAAAGAUUAGGGCUGCUGUUCCCAAGCAUGAGGAUCAUUUUAUGUGGAUUGGCCACUUUGAAUAAGCUAGUGACUAGUGGAAGAGUAGCUGUAACCCUGCCCUCUGAAGGCUUGUACUCAUAAUGAGCUCAAAUGUGACCUAAGGACAACUAAACCGGUAAGUCUGAGACUUGAUUACCCUGUAUGUUUUGCAGCCUCCUCCUCUUACUCAGUGUGUGACCUUAGGCAGCUCACUGCACCUCUGUGGGAUUCAGUUUCUGCAUCUGCCAUAGAGGGAUCAUGAGUACCGAUCCUCCAGGGCUGACAUGAAAAUUAAAGAAGGUAGAGUGUCUACAGUGCUGAUCUACGUGAUUGGCAUAUAGGCAACACUCUGCAAAUGUUAGCUGUUAUGACUGUGAUGAUGUUAGGACCUUGUCACAGUGUAAAGGAAGCCAUAUCCCUGACCUCUGAGGGCAUGUGCUCAAAAUGAGAUAAAAUACAGAAAGACAAGCAAUCCAAACGUGGGCAGAAGGGGCAGGGAGGUUGCAUUCAGUCCAGUGGUUUCACCGAACCCUCCUUCCUUUCCAUCUCCUCCUACCAAAAUUGUUAACUUUACCACAGAACAAGACAUUAUUUUAACUGCCUAGAAACCAGGGCUUCUUUCGUUUUUUCCCCAAGUGGGGUGAGGGGGAAGGAAAAGAGAGAGGAAAUAAACACCAGCUGGGAUGAGAAUAUGAAGAAAAGAUAGGUUUCUUUUUUUUCCAUUAAAAAAAAAAGAAUGGGGUAGUGGGGACAGGGAGAAAAAUGUGUUUUGAAUGUGGAGGUACUGUUGCAAAUAGCACAGGCAGUUUCCCAGAGCCGCACUUCUUCCAAUCAUCUCAGAGCAGGCAGUGCUCUGGCCCCAGCCAAUUAUUUAUUUACACAAGAGGUACAGAUGCCAGAGGCAGGUGUCAAAACAAUUAAUAACACUCCCGAAAUGAAUAGUCUCUCCGUAACUCUGCCAGCCCGUGUAGGCUGGCUCCUCAGGAGAGAGCUCCCUGAGAAACUGCUCCCAGCCAGAGCAAUGGUCUGGGUCCACUGCGCAAACAUUCAGUACUGAUCUGUAGCUACACUCUACCGCCCAUUGCGUAUGAGGGUGAGGGCUUGCCUUUUCAAGAGACUCACCUUCAUCCCUUCUUGAAAUACCUAGUACUUCGCGAAAGCUGAAUCUUUGCUCAAAAGUCUUUGAGUUUUUCUAGCCAGAGAAAUGCAGAGGCAGACUGGGGGACUCCAAAGUGGUGGGAACUGCUGUUUCUUGAAGAUAAAUUUGCAGUAAAAUGAAUUCUACAAUUGAGGAUUAAAAGGAUUUCAAAUUUAAAUUGAAUUAAAAUUUUAAAACUUAAUUCACUUAUUUUUCAAAACAACCUUACAAGGUAUACACUACUAUUAUCCCCAUUUCCAGACGAAGAAACCGAGUCACAAAAAGGAUGGAAGCAGCAGCAAUAGGAACAGCAGCAACACAGCCUCGGACCAACUGAGCAUUUAAUUGAACACCUAAUGGAGUGACACUUUGUUUCCUAGGCAAAUUUGGUUGCUAUUAACAGGGAGGUAGUUAUCAUGGUUAAAUUUACUCAUUACAACAAAGUACUAGGGGAGCUUUUUAAUAUUUAUGUGACAAUAAUUGAUCUCUUACCACUGUCAAGUACUGCUAAAGACUUAUCAGCUUGCUGUUUCAGCACCAUAUGUUGUAGCCAAGAUGCACUCCAUGUGUCCUUCCUGUGCCUUGGGGAGAGAACAUUUGCAGUAGAUCAGAAUAGAAAAUGGUAUGGGUUUCAGAAAAGCUGCUUGCUCUCAGCUUUCUCGUCAGUGACCGGGGUAUGCAAGUUGUGACUAUAAAGUAAUGAGACUACCUUCCAAAACCACCCGUGAAAUGAAGCCUCGACCUUUAAUUGUUCUCUUCCCUAGGUUUGAACCAAGAACUGGUCGACCUAAUUAAAGGGGAUUCCUCGUAAAUUCGCCUUGUAUUGCAUUCAACUUAUUUUAAAUAGGGCAUUCUGUGAAAUCUGAAAACCCGCCUACAAUUAAAACACUAACAUCUAUACCAUUUGGUUUUUCUUAAUGAGCCAUGUGCUGAUUUCACUUGUCUUAUUUCAGCAAUAACAAGGAUUAGCACACACAUACCAUAAAUCUCCCAGGAACCUAAGGAGUGGGCUUUUAGAAUUUUUCUUGAGGCAGAUUUCAUUUGAACUUUAUUUAUGGGAGUGAGUGAGCUACUUGGGGAAAGAGAGUUUAACUGUUUCAAACUGUGAGGGUCCCCUUAAGUAAACUGCGUCUGGGAAUCACAGUGUGGGUCAAGGAGCUAGAAACAUUAAGCAUCCCACAGUCAUAUGCAUAGGGAGGCUACCUCAAUAGCUCUGCCUGCCUGAUGAGGUGGGGUUGCAAUGACCCUUGGGUCGUCUGGAGGGUCACAGUUUCAGAAGAUGUGGUGAAAUAAGGCAAGUGUGUUACCAUGACCAUGAUAAUAUUUAUAUUUUAGAAGUAUCUUGAUGUGGUGGGCCUUAAGGAACUGACAUUCACAAGUCUUCCUCCAAGCACACACUGUCUACUAGGUCAAUCACACAAUGAGCUGUUAAUAUUUAAAAUCUAAACACAACAAAAAUUUUUUAAAAAUGGAUCUGUCAAUCACAGUGGAAUGCUAUUUUCCUGGGAUCACUGUGCCACCAUCUUUUCUGGGAUCGAGAAUCUCCUUUUCCGUUCGUUUGUUAGUUUGCUUUUUUGCACCGUUGGAGGAGAACGUUUUCAAAGCAAAUUAAGAGAAAAUUGAAGAAAUGGACCUUUAACCCUUCCUCAGAGCUACUGAUGAGGGCCUGAGAGAAACUUCUCUUUAAAAUCCUCUGGAAAUCUAGAAGCCAUUUGAACAUGUUCAUUAGUGGCCUUUGGCCAAUGAUGUCUGUACAUUUCUUAGACAACUUUUCAUAUAUUUGGAAAAUUCAAUCCAGCCCUAAUGCCACUGUGGAUUAUUUCCUUGGGCUCCUGGAUAUUUUCUGUGCUUCUUCUUCUUUUUUUUGGAUCUG
Molecule: long non-coding RNA, 4712 nt
Filed under: Homo sapiens (human)
Lineage: Eukaryota; Metazoa; Chordata; Mammalia; Primates; Hominidae
Description: HSALNT0285107
Source: RNAcentral